RNAcentral lists this ribosomal RNA (460 nucleotides) under uncultured bacterium. Its description in RNAcentral is "partial 16S ribosomal RNA". It matches the Rfam family "Bacterial small subunit ribosomal RNA", at positions 338 to 795 of the family's 1533-position model. The record is from RNAcentral.
CCUACGGGAGGCAGCAGUGAGGAAUAUUGGACAAUGGACGAGAGCCUGAAGCAGCCAAGCAGCGUGAAGGAUGAAGGCCCUAGGGGUGGUAAACUUCGUUUAUAGGGGAAAAAAAUGGUCCACGUGUGGGAUGUUGUAUGUACCAUACGAAGAAGGAUCGGCCAACUCCGUGCCAGACGCCGCGGUGAUACGGAGGAUCCGAGCGUUAUUCGGGUUUAGUGGGUUUAAAGGGAGCGUAGGUGGAUUGUUAAGUCAGUUGUGAAUGUUUGGGGCUCAACCGUAUAAUUGCAGUUGAAACUGGCAGUCGUGAGUACAGUAGAGGUGGGCGGAAUUCGUGGUGUAGCGGUGAAAUGCUUAGAUAUCAGGAAGAACUCCGGUUGCGAAGGCAGCUCACUGGACUGCAACUGACACUGAGGCUCGAAAGUGUGGGUAUCAAACAGGAUUAGAUACCCCAGUAGUC